Molecule: long non-coding RNA, 375 nt
Filed under: Fukomys damarensis (Damara mole-rat)
Lineage: Eukaryota; Metazoa; Chordata; Mammalia; Rodentia; Bathyergidae
Description: lncRNA (ENSFDAG00000023569.1)
Source: RNAcentral
CUGGAUAGGAACUUUGAUAGGGCGGAACUUUUUCUUCCCACUUCCUGAUUGUCUCUCCAGGCCGAGGCAGCUCUCUGCUUGUUUAACCCUCUUGGUCCCUUUCCACAUCCCACUUACUUCUCCCUAGGGAAGAAUUGGGCUGAACGUGUAAAGAAUAAGCUGGUGAAUGUGCAGUCAGGCCCUCUUCUUCCUGAGUCCACCCAAGGAGGCCUAUGGCUGACCGACACUGCCUAGGAUUGACAACAAAGAGAUUCAGGCUUAGACAACUCUCUUGUCUUCAAAGGGAUCAAAUAUGGGACGUUGCCAUUGUGAGGCUGGCAGCGGCACCACUGAGCUAAAUCACCGGCCCCAUAUCAACUAAUUUUUGAAAGGUAA